UGAACUAUAAGGCAUUAUACUAUCUCCAUACCCAAGUCCAGUUACAUGUAGCCAAAAAAUUCAUACAUGUAAAGACAGCGAAAGAGUGUGACGCCCCCACUUCUCCCUAAGGCGAACCAAAGAGUAUCCGCGGGGCGCCUGCCCAACUCUCGCCAGGACUUACUACAAUCCAUUAUUCAAAAGUUCGAAAUACUUUAGGUAACUUCAAUACAUAAUUAAAGUACUUCAAUUAUCUUACACUUACAAUUAUGUAGCUUUCAAGCUUAAAUACAACCCAACGGAAAAGGGUACAAUAGCCAUCCGUUAUAAUAUAACUUAAAGUCUUCAAAAGAAAACAAUCUAGUACUACUCACGAGUACCCUUGGUCUCGAACCCUGUAAAAGAAAGCCACAACAUCGGAUGAGCUACACAGCCCAGCGAGGUUCCAAGACACUCUAACAGUUCAAAUAAAUCAAGUAAAUUGGGCAUAUCAUAUGCAUGGUUCAAGGUUACACAAUGGCAUGUUAUCAUGAGGUGAUAAUCAUUGUACGGGUAAUUUGAGACAUUUAUCAUGAGAUAGUUAUCAUGGUUCAAGACAUUGGCAUGUAUAGUUCAUGAGUGAUUGGAGCUUAUUACAGGUGCGAGUAAUUAAGCAUGUUACAGGUAUGGAGCAUUAACAUGAAACAGGUAUCAUGAUAUGAGUACAUUGGACAGGUAACAGGUAGGGAGCAUAUCACAGGCAUGGCUCAGGAUUUCAUGUUGACAUUUUAGCAUGAAACAAUUAUCAUGAUACAAGGUAAACAUAUACGGUAGGAUACGGUGUUCCAGUGGAACUCUGUCGGUCAUCUGCACCUUAUGACUUCCGGAUCCCCUCGGUUUGACUGGCCAUCACCUUAUCCCUCCAGUGGUAAUACUCGAGUAUACCGAAACGGUGGCCCAGGGUUCCAACCUACCCGACUGAGCCCAGUCCUGGCUCGAGUAGGUCAGUAACCAAGGGUAGGGCCCAAGUUCAGCUUAGAGCUUACAACAUGCACAGGUAACCAAGUAAUUCGACAAAAAGUAAAAUUCAUCAUUUGAGUAGGUCGAGUGAAGUAAAGUACACACUCGCCUAACAAUGAUGGACAGCUUCAUAUAACAUGUGUUUCAUUUUUCCUCUUGCGCCUGCUGCGAGAUCGCCUCCCCUUGGAUUGUUCAGUAUGGAAGUUGGGGAUUCAGGGACCUUCCCGAUGUUCAUGCUGUCCAUCUCCUGAGAUUGAGACGACGGAGCAUUUGUUUGGUGAUGGGGUGUUGGCACAGUAUGUGUGGAGGUUCUUUGGGGCUCCGGUUGGAGUAGGUUGGCCAGGGUCUUCGUUUCACGUAUAUAUGGCAGCCUGGUGGGAGGGACGGCAACGGAAUAAGUUUUUGAGGUUUGCCCAUCAGGUUGUCCCUUUGAUGAUCUGCUAGCAUCUCUGGAAGGCUCGCAACGGGAUGAAGUACGAGGGCAAGAGGAUUGUAGGGGCACAGGUAUGUCAAUUGAUAUUCUCAGAGAUGCUACAGUUGUUCAGGAUCCAGUUUCCGGAUUGCCGGGUUCCGUCGUGGUCGUGGAUCCAGUUCCAUUUGGCCAUAUCAACAUGGAAACCGGCGGUUUCACAUAGGUUGGUGAAAUGGGUCCGUCCUUUCCUUGGAAGUCUAAAGUUAAACACGGACGGUUGUUCGAAGGGUAACCCUAGCUUGAGUGGAGGGGGGGUGCUGCGUGAUGGGGAGGGAAGGAUGGUGCUGGCUUUUUCCUGUAGUUUCGGUUUGGCUUCGAGCAUGCAGGCUGAGACCCGCGCCCUAUUGUUUGAGGUCAAGUUGUGUCUCCAGAGGGGCAUCGAUACCUUGGACGUUGAACUGGACUCGUUGAUUUUAGUUCGUAUCUUGAAUCGUUUAGUACAUUGCCCUUGGGGCAUUCACACGGAGGUGCAGCAGUUGAUGGGGGUGGCGCAUCAUUUUUCUCGGAUUCUUCACUGCUACCGUCAGGCGAACCAGGUCGCGGAUAUAUUGGCAAAUACUGGUUGUCAGCAGGCCCGUGACGAUAUAUAUUUGGUAUCUUCGGAUUUGCCCCGUUUAGCGCGAGGAGCUUUAGUUCUAGAUAGGCUAGGAAUGCCAUCCCUCCGCCAGGUUAUGAGGGAUGGGUAGUGUUUUUGAGCAUUGGCGCUUGUAACUUUGGUUCUUUCCGUUUAAUAAAUAAAAAGAGAAGCUAUUAAAAAAAAAAAGUAAUCAAGUGGAUACUUAGCACGUAAGCAAUACAAGUUGAUUUCAUGGGAGCAUAUAAUUCACGGAUAUCGAAUAGUCAUGUAGAUUGGAAAUCAUGUGAGCAAAUAGUCAAGUAAUCAGGUAGUCAUGUGGGUUGGUAAACCGUUCACGGUUAACGGUUAACGGUUGAGUAGUGACGGUUAUUUGACAGGCAUUUGCCAUAUUGAUAGGCCAUCAUUGGCCGUUAUCCCAUUUUUACCAUGUGAGAGUCGAGGAGAUUCACUCCAACGACGUAUGCAACCAUAACAUACCAAGUCAUGUUAUUCGAGCAUUUCCAAGCAUGAGUUAUUCAUCUCAAAAGAGAACGAGUGCGAUAAAGUACACACUCGACCCCAUUUUUCAAAACCAAGUAGGCUAAGCAAGCAAUCUAGCAAGUUAAGUAUGAAUCGAGUUCAUAUGGUCCUUUGAUAUGGUUAAUCAUUUAACCAAUUCAUGUCGAUAUGCAAUGCAAGUAUACAUUAUUUAUAUAGGCAUGAGUAUGGUAAAUACUUAACACUUAAUAAUCAUGAAAUAAGCAUGUCCUAGACUUAUUCAAUUAUGUAUUCCUAUAUGGAACACUCACCUAGUCAAAACAAGCGAAUAGUUCUCAAACAAGCGUUUUAGGUGUCCGCUUCGAGAUUCUCUUGAAGGUCCCCUCGAGUGCCUGAGCAAACAAUAAUCAACUACCACUCAAUAUCACUACAAAUCUCUAAUUAUCGAGGAAGAUUGUACGCUAGUACAAUCUAAGGAAAUCUUAUGAAAAUGAACCUCAAUUACUCGUAAAUCGAGAUUCGAGUGGAGUUUCUUAAAGUACAUGAGCAAUCGAGUUUUCAUUUUGGAAAUCAAGUAUAAAAUGUUCAAGUAAUAUCGAAAGAAUAAGGAGUAUUUGAAAACUCCCUUCCCUUGGAAUUCGAAAAAUUUUCGGGUUUGAUACGAUACUUUGAAAAAUCGUAUCUCACAUUCUACAUAUCAAAAAUUGGAAAACUUGGUACCAUUGGAAACCUCUUUGAAAGUACUAAAAGUUCUUGGAAGACACUUUUCCACGAAUGUAAGUGAAAGGCACUCAAAUUUUGGCUCAAAGUUGGUAACUUGAAUUACCAAGACAGAUUUAAGUUGGUUUUUGGCCAACUUUGGAAAUUUGGCAAAAUUUACUUGUUUUGAACUAACCUUUGAAAUUUGGAAAUCAAUUAGUGUUCCAAUCCAAGAGUAUAACGAAACAAGCAGAAUGAGAAAUGGAGUUUCGAGCACCAAGAUAUGGUGACCCAAAGUUACCAAAAUUUUCUUGUUAAACAAGGGUUUUCAAACUUAAAUCAUGAACUUUGGAAGUUUUAUUAAACAUCAAAACGACCUCGGAAUAGGACCAAAUUUGGUAUGUACAUACGACCAUAUAAGGGUUAUUCCUCUACCAAAUUUCAUAGAAAAAUAUGCACGGGAAGUCGGUUAAUGAAACCACAAGAAAUUCUAAGGCUAAGUUGCCUUUGAACUUCCGUUUUGCCGUUUUUCAAACGUUUGGCCAGGGCACAUUUCAAACAUGGUCCAUUCCAGUAAGAAAUGUCUAAAAUAUGUCCAAGGUACAUUUGAUAGGUGAUUUAUACCAAGAAGCUUCAGAAAACAAGUCCCAAAUCAUUGUUAGUUACAAAUCUGUCCAAGUGGAAAAUUCUAUCACUGUAGCAGUUUCAACCUUUGGCCACAAAUCACUCAAUUCAACUUGGAAUUGGGCAUGGUUGAUGGCAUUGGAAAGCUCUCUCAUAAAGCUGAAUUUUUUCAGAAGAAACCAUUUUCAAAUUCUAUCCACAAACAGCUCGUUUUUGAGCAUCAAGAAGUAAUUUCUGUCCUGUCUCCUGGAGAGCAACGAAACAGGGCAGUGAUUUUCAAACGAAUGGUGUGGCUCACUCAAGUGGAACCAGAACGUGUAUUUGGUACCAAUGGAAAGCUGGGAAUGUCUAGUUUCAAAUUCCACCAACGGCACUCAAUUUCAACGUCGGAGUACAGAGUUAUGGAUGAAACAAGCAAGCUGUCUGAGCAUUACGGGAACAGUUCCCAGGUUCACUAGCUUCACGAAAAUAAUUCAUUGACCAACCAAACCUCAAUAUUUUUCAAUGAAAUUUUAUACACCAUCUAUACAACAUAUAAACAUCAUAUGCAAGCCAUUAAACCCUCAAAAUUCUGCAGAAAAUGGUACGAUCAAAGCAGGGUCAAAAUCGGAACUUUUUACGCCAUGCACUCCUUGAAGUUUCUACUAGUUAUACACCAUUAAUCUACCAUUUUUAGCACUAAACCAACAUUAAAUCCAUCAUCAAGCAUGAGAUCAGUCCCCAAGACAAAGGUGGGAGUUCAUAGAGCCCACCCAUUUCAUUUUACACCAUAAACAAGCUAACCAAUGGCAUAAAUGAACUUAAUUAGGUAAGAUAACCUCCAAAUAACAAGUUUCUAAGGUUGGAUCAUCACUCACUUGGUUGGAGGCUCAAGAGCAGAAUUUCGGUCACUCUUUGCUCCAGAAAACCGUGGCUUUUCAGCUCCCUUUUGCAGCUCAAAAUACUCCUCAAGUGUUAAGCUAAGUGUGGUGAAAUUUUGGUAGGAUUUGAGUGAAGAUUUGGUGAGGUUUUGUGAAGUAAAAAUUGAGAGAGCAAUGGUGGUUUGAGAGAGAGGGAUGGCCGGCUGUGGAGGGAGAAGAGAGUGAUCAGAU
This 4918-nucleotide long non-coding RNA is filed under the name Coffea arabica (coffee). RNAcentral's name for it is "long non-coding RNA (CARA_LNC001934)". The record is from RNAcentral. Lineage: Eukaryota; Viridiplantae; Streptophyta; Magnoliopsida; Gentianales; Rubiaceae.